AGUGAACGCUGGCGGCGUGCCUAAUACAUGCAAGUCGAACGGAGUGGCGCACGGGUGAGUAAUGUAUAGCUAAUCUGCCCUACACUAGAGGACAACAGUUGGAGACGACUGCUAAUACUCUAUAGUGUAGGAUGAGGCUAUAUUGUAUCAGCUAGUUGGUGAGGUAAUGGCUCACCAAGGCUAUGACGCAUAACUGGUCUGAGAGGAGGAGCAGUCAAACUGGAAGGGAGACACGGUCCAGAAUCCUACGGGAGGAAGCAGUAGGGAAUAUCACUCAAUGGGGGAAACUCUGAAGCGGCAUCGCCGCGUGGAGGAUGACACUUUGCGAAGCAUAAACUCCUUUUGUUAGGGAAGCGGUACCUAACGAAUAAGCACCGGCUAACUCCGUGCCAGCAGCCGCGGUAAUAC
RNAcentral lists this ribosomal RNA (408 nucleotides) under uncultured bacterium. RNAcentral describes it as "partial 16S ribosomal RNA". It matches the Rfam family "Bacterial small subunit ribosomal RNA", at positions 29 to 526 of the family's 1533-position model. The record is from RNAcentral.